GAGUGGGUCUUGCACUUGGUCGCUCAAUGACCAAACUACCCUCCAGUCUAUGUUCCCUCUAAAAACCCUUCUCGUCCAGAAAAACAUUGGCUAACGGGUAUUUUGGUCAUUGAGUGACCAAAUUGCAAGACAUCUUA
Molecule: microRNA precursor, 137 nt
Filed under: Asparagus officinalis (garden asparagus)
Lineage: Eukaryota; Viridiplantae; Streptophyta; Magnoliopsida; Asparagales; Asparagaceae
Description: miR12165 stem-loop (aof-MIR12165)
Source: miRBase by way of RNAcentral